GCCGAAGCGAGUCGAACGGGAUUCCAUUCCUGUUUCGGCUUUUUCCGGCGACUGUCGAAGUGGAUAAGCUCGACGACGACGGCUCCUUCGGCUCAUUCCGGAGACGGCCAUUACUAACGGAGUUGAUGACUUUUUAUUACGUGAUAAAAUCACGCAGGGGCGUUAUACAGAAUUGUUGCCCGUUUGGAGAUAUUUAAGCUCCGGCUCCAAGCUUUUUUUGUUUUUUUUUUUAAACGAAAACCUGGGAAGGGAGUCUGGCUUGGAGAAGGAGGGCGCUAGCACUACGUGGAGCUGAAUUUCAAAUUGCGUAACAGUUAAGGCAGCCAUUACUGACCAGUUGUACGCUACUCUCGAGCAGGAAUAGGUAAACCAUGAAGAACAUGAGGGAAAAGGAACAGUUCCGCAAACUGUUUAUUGGCGGCUUAAGUUUUGAAACAACAGAGGAAAGCUUGAGGAGUUACUAUGAGCAAUGGGGAAAACUUACAGAUUGUGUGGUAAUGAGGGAUCCUGCAAGCAAAAGAUCAAGGGGGUUUGGCUUUGUAACAUUCUCUUCCAUGGCUGAAGUUGAUGCAGCCAUGGCUGCAAGACCUCACACGAUUGACGGAAGGGUGGUUGAGCCUAAGAGAGCUGUGGCUAGAGAGGAAUCUGGAAAACCUGGUGCUCACGUUACUGUGAAAAAACUGUUUGUUGGUGGUAUUAAAGAGGACACUGAAGAGCACCACCUUCGAGACUACUUCGAGGAAUAUGGAAAAAUCGACACUAUUGAAAUCAUUACUGACAGACAGUCUGGUAAAAAGAGAGGGUUUGGAUUUGUUACAUUUGAUGACCAUGAUCCUGUGGAUAAAAUCGUAUUGCAGAAGUAUCACACCAUCAAUGGCCAUAAUGCAGAAGUAAGGAAAGCUCUCUCUAGACAGGAAAUGCAGGAAGUUCAAAAUUCCAGAAGUGGGAGAGGAGGGAACUUCGGUUUCGGUGAUGCACGUGGAGGUGGUGGCAAUUUUGGUCCAGGACCUGGCAGCAAUUUCAGAGGAGGAGCUGGUAAGACAGAUGGGUAUGGAAGUGGCCGCGGAUUUGGUGAUGGCUAUAACGGAUAUGGUGGAGGACCUGGAGGUGGCAACUUUGGUGGCAGUCCUGGUUAUGGAGGAGGAAGAGGAGGAUAUGGUGGAGGAGGACCUGGCUAUGGCAACCAGGGUGGCGGUUAUGGAGGUGGUUAUGACAACUAUGGAGGAGGCAACUAUGGAAGUGGAAACUAUAACGAUUUUGGAAACUAUAACCAACAACCUUCAAAUUAUGGUCCAAUGAAGAGUGGAAAUUUUGGUGGCAGCAGAAACAUGGGUGGACCAUAUGGUGGAGGAAACUAUGGUCCAGGAGGCAGUGGAGGAAGUGGUGGAUAUGGAGGGAGGAGCCGUUACUGAGUUUCUGCAAGCAUGCCAUGGCUAUGAUAUGAACCCUGGACAAGCAUAGACUGCUGCCACUGUACACUGCUACAGUUGAACAAAUGAGACCUGCAAGUGUCCAUUAGUAAAGCUUUGCAAGGGUUCCAUCCUUGGUGUUGGUAGUUAAAAUGGAAGGUGCCAUGCUGCAGGUAACUAAUGAAGAAGUGGUCAACCACAGAAACGCUUCAAGAAAUAAGAAAUUCUGUAUCAUCAGAAAAUAGUUGUUUUUGCUGCCUUCAUUAAAAAUCUAGAGGUUAAAUGAAUACUGAUAAAACAUCAGAAUUAGUACAGCUCCCUGUAAUUCUGGGUUUUUAAAAUUAUAGUAAUGUCUUGUAAACCUUUCGAAUAAAAUUCAAAUUCAUUAGGAGAAACAAAUCACUAAUGUUAAAAUAGCAAACACUCUGUGAGUAGAAAGUUUAACUACAUAUUUUUAUAACUUUCAUAGCUUUAAAAUAAAGUAUUUUUUAUACCAACGUAGUUCUAGUGUAAUGCUUAAUAAAAUAAAACCUAGUGUGUGUCUAACAUUAAAUAAUGUUUAUGUGCAGCUUUUAGACCCUUUCAUGAUUUGAAACGUUCCAUUUUGAGGUGGAUUUAAAACAAAGUCAACUUGGCAAGUGUAUUCACAGAACUUGUAUCUCUGACUGUAGGCAUCUGUUCUCUGCUGGGAGAAACAGUGCUACAAGUUCAAAAUGCUGAUGUCUUUGCUGUUGGACACAAUUGCUUUAAAAUAGCUUUUUGGCUGUGUUUUAUAUCACUUUAUAAAAAUAUCUCCUUUCCUGUUAAUUAAACUAGCACUUAAGACAGACUGUCAAAAUGUGAUAGGAAAAUAGCUUUAUCCUUUUCACCGGUAAAGAGCUUCUAGCAUCAAGAGAGAAAGACUGAAUGAAAUUAGAGUUCCUGCUGUACCAGAACUGUAUUACUGAUAGCGUAAUCUUCGGGGGUGGGGAAACAACACCCACAAAAAACAAACUUGGAAGUGUGAGCUUGGCAAAGCUUCAGUGGGGAAUGUAUUUGAGGGAACGUAUCUUCAGUCUGUACUGUUCUAAUGUAUUUAGCCUUCUUUAUAUUCAAAAAUAUUAUUUAAGGAUUCACAUAUGAUUUUUUUUCCUGUGUUUCUUAAGUUCAACUUUGAAAUAUUUGCAUAGGUAACCGGUGGGCUGCAACGGAAGCAGAAAAUGAAGACGCACAAAAUCUGCUUUACUUUCUUCUUUCCAACAGAAUGAGUUGGCCGGUUGAUAAGGAAUUUGCUGUCUUUCCUGGAACUUAGAGAUUUAGUUAAUGGAUGUUUUUCUUUGCAGUUGCCAAGACUACAUUCAUAUGAUAUAAAAAAGCCUCACUUCAAUGAGGAGUAAUUUUCUUUCUGUUUGAGAUACUUACACUCUUUUAUUAGUUCUGCAACAAGGCUUUAAAUUUAUUUAAGUGUAUUUUCCAUAAUAAGGAUGUUUUAAUUUUGAUCUACUCGCCAUGGGGGAAGGGUGUGUAUAGAGGCCAGCAGUAUGCAAAAACUAAGUUAUUGGAUAUUUGAAGUCUUGAAGUUUUCAGUAUUUGAGUAAGUUUUCUGUUGUCUUGCUGUUGAACUUCCGUGACCUUUCUUGGUAUGUUCUUAAAACAACUGACAAUCACAACAUUUACUGAUUAAUUCAGUAAGAGAAGUCACUAUUUUGAGUCAACCUGAUACUGAAAGCUAGCAACUUUGAAUAAAAACAAACAGUGUGCGUGUGGUCAGUUACUGGUCCUCAAUUUGUAGAGAACGUAUACUUGUCCUCUAAUUUCUAAGAAGUUUGGUUUAUGUUGCUCUGCAGACUUUGUUCUUGAAGUAAGGGUAACAUUGCUGGUAAGCGUGUUUCUGUGUAUUAGGAACUGAGGAUAAGGUUGGUACUAAGCCCAGCUCGCUCCCAGUAAACAGGGAAGAAUGUGAAAGACAACCUACUGGUAACUGGUAUGGGAGAAAAAAAUAACCCACAGUGUAUGACUUGCAUUUAUAAAAAGGUGGUGAAAAAAGGUCAAUAAUAGGGUUCUGACUACUCAGACUUCAUGUUCUAUUUCUUAGAUUAAAGGUGGAUUUUAUUCACUUCCAUUACGUGUACUUCAGAUGCCAAGAAGUGUUCAGGAAAAUGUGAGAAGUUGCUCUUAUGAUUGCAAAAUUAGCAGGAAUUGAACUUUGUCUUGUGUGGGGAAGACUGCAUUCUUUUAAUUUUUAUUAUAAAUGUACAUAUGAUCUUGGGGUUGAAGUCAUAUUUUUGGGGAAGAAAAAAGUCCCAGAAAACAUAUAGGAAUUUUAAGAUGUCAGCUGAGUUUGUUUUGGCAACUUGAACGUAUUUGUGAAAGAGGAUGAUGUGCUGAGAACACACUGCAGCAAGAUGUUCCCUAUAGUCUCAGUGUUCCAAUUUGUUUUCAAAGCUGAGCGCAUGGUGGAAGCAGAAUCCUGUAGUAGUGCUGUCAAUUUUCUUUUCUCCUGAGAGAGAUGCUAGGUGUUUUCCUCUUUGGUGCAGUGGUACUGGUAGGAAUGCACAGGAGUGUAACGUGGAAGGGUGUUCCUGCGUAACGUUGAUCCAUUUUGCCAGAAGUCAUACCGUCUCUCUUAACAGUUGUGCUCUUGCUUUGCAGCUGGCAUUGAUUUGCAUUGCAGCAGAAGUUACUCCAGUUAAUGUCAGCAAGAAUGGGUUUAUUUAUCAACAGUAAAAAUAAAUUGUUGAUCUUUAAAUGGGUGUUUGACUUGCCCCAAAGGUGCUGUGAACCUACUAGGUCAACAGUGUUUGGGGACUGUGUAGUUUACAAACUUCUAUGACCUCCUGUGCUGCUUCACUCUGUGAACAGGGUGACUUUGUGGGCGAGUCCUAGAAAGUUGCUGUUCCCCCCCUAGAGUUCUCCCCAAUGUGGGACUUUCCACAGCCCACCCUUUGCUGCUGCUUUGGUCUCUUUUGUGGUCUGUUUUUGGGCAUACUUGUACAAAAAUCAAUGGCUAAUGCAUUUACUGGAGUUCUAGUAGCUGUGUAGCAGGUAACAAGUUGCAGUGCUUUUAUGAGGUAUGCUACAGUAAUGGUUGCAUGUGUCAUCUCCAUUUGGUUUAUUUAGUAAAUAAUAAAUUUUCUCUAGAACCCGG
This is an RNA transcript of Columba livia (rock pigeon), 4536 nucleotides long. It is a transcript of the gene named heterogeneous nuclear ribonucleoprotein A2/B1, with no coding region annotated. NCBI's taxonomy places the organism in Eukaryota, Metazoa, Chordata, Aves, Columbiformes, Columbidae. The transcript is spliced from 12 exons. The record is from RefSeq and is a predicted model, not a curated record.